AAAAAUAAAGCUUACGCUGACGCAAUGAUUGGGCUUUUAGCAAGAGCAAAGGGCACCAAAGGAACAGUUGACGGAGUUAUGCGUGGCUUGUUCAAAGAUGAUACCGUGGCUAAUUUUAAUUUAGAGGGAAGGGCAGGCAAGUUCCCACUUGUUGGACUUAAAGUGACUGAGCUCCUCUUUGAUAUUUUCCCAGAAAAAUCGAAGGAGGACGUUCGCACUUUAAUGAGAAAAUAUAUAACUUUAAGUCAUAAUAGAAAUAAUCAAAAAAAAUAUAUCAAUAAAAAAACUUUAAGUAAUAGUGUAGAAUAAGUAUACCUAAGAAACUGUAAAUAGUAACAUUAAGUUUUUAGAAGCAUUAAGGGUGUUAAAAAUCUGGUGCAUAUAGUAUUGCAAAUGCAUAUCUGUGGUGUCAGGUAUCAACCAUUUCUUUUAAAUAUGAAAUGGAAUUAUGUUUAUACCUGAUACUACAUAUACAUUUCGUCAUCUUAAUUCACAAAAGCCCUAACCAACUAAUUUUUACUUUAUUAGUAGAAGCAAAAAACAUUAUAAAAAUAGUAUCAAAAACAGGUAGGACUUUU
Rhagoletis pomonella (apple maggot) is the source of this 578-nucleotide long non-coding RNA. RefSeq lists it as uncharacterized. The record is from RefSeq and is a predicted model, not a curated record. The transcript is spliced from 3 exons. Lineage: Eukaryota; Metazoa; Arthropoda; Insecta; Diptera; Tephritidae.